RNAcentral lists this non-coding RNA (28 nucleotides) under Homo sapiens (human). Lineage: Eukaryota; Metazoa; Chordata; Mammalia; Primates; Hominidae. The record is from RNAcentral.
UGGCAUUGAUGUCAUGCUGGUUAUCGAC